Non-coding RNA from Danio rerio (zebrafish), 47 nucleotides. The record is from Rfam. Lineage: Eukaryota; Metazoa; Chordata; Actinopteri; Cypriniformes; Danionidae.
CCAAAGGCUCUUUUAAGAGCCACCAAUCAUUUCUUAUAAAAGGGUAU